This 469-nucleotide ribosomal RNA is filed under the name uncultured bacterium. Its description in RNAcentral is "partial 16S ribosomal RNA". It matches the Rfam family "Bacterial small subunit ribosomal RNA", at positions 28 to 507 of the family's 1533-position model. The record is from RNAcentral.
GACGAACGCUGGCGGCGUGCUUAACACAUGCAAGUCGAACGGAAAGGCCCUGCUUGCAGGGUGCUCGAGUGGCGAACGGGUGAGUAACACGUGGGUGAUCUGCCCCUUACUUUGGGAUAAGCCUGGGAAACUGGGUCUAAUACUGGAUAGGACCAUGCUGUAGGUGGUGUGGUGGAAAGAUUAGUUUCGGUAAGGGAUGAGCUCGCGGCCUAUCAGCUUGUUGGUGGGGUAAUGGCCUACCAAGGCGUCGACGGGUAGCCGGCCUGAGAGGGUGGACGGCCACAUUGGGACUGAGAUACGGCCCAGACUCCUACGGGAGGCAGCAGUGGGGAAUAUUGCACAAUGGGCGCAAGCCUGAUGCAGCGACGCCGCGUGGGGGAUGACGGCCUUCGGGUUGUAAACUCCUUUCAGCCAUGGCGAAGCCCUUGUGGUGACGGUAGUGGUAGAAGAAGCACCGGCUAACUACGUG